GACGAACGCUGGCGGCGUGCUUAACACAUGCAAGUCGAACGGAAAGGCCCUGCUUUUGUGGGGUGCUCGAGUGGCGAACGGGUGAGUAACACGUGAGUAACCUGCCCUUGACUUUGGGAUAACUUCAGGAAACUGGGGCUAAUACCGGAUAGGAGCUCCUGCUGCAUGGUGGGGGUUGGAAAGUUUCGGCGGUUGGGGAUGGACUCGCGGCUUAUCAGCUUGUUGGUGGGGUAGUGGCUUACCAAGGCUUUGACGGGUAGCCGGCCUGGGAGGGUGACCGGCCACAUUGGGACUGAGAUACGGCCCAGACUCCUACGGGAGGCAGCAGUGGGGAAUAUUGCACAAUGGGCGGAAGCCUGAUGCAGCAACGCCGCGUGCGGGAUAACGGCCUUCGGGUUGUAAACCGCUUUCGCCUGUGACGAAGCGUGAGUGACGGUAAUGGGUAAAGAAGCACCGGCUAACUACGUG
Molecule: ribosomal RNA, 468 nt
Filed under: uncultured bacterium
Lineage: Bacteria
Description: partial 16S ribosomal RNA
Rfam family: Bacterial small subunit ribosomal RNA
Source: RNAcentral